This is a non-coding RNA of Ixodes scapularis (black-legged tick), 82 nucleotides long. The record is from Rfam. Lineage: Eukaryota; Metazoa; Arthropoda; Arachnida; Ixodida; Ixodidae.
GCAGUCGUGGCCGAGUGGUUAAGGCGAUGAACUAGAAAUACAUGGGGGUCUCCCCGCACAGGUUCGAAUCCUGUCGACUGCG